RNAcentral lists this ribosomal RNA (1009 nucleotides) under Leptolyngbya crispata SEV1-1-C1. Its description in RNAcentral is "bacterial SSU rRNA". It matches the Rfam family "Bacterial small subunit ribosomal RNA", at positions 356 to 1381 of the family's 1533-position model. The record is from RNAcentral. Lineage: Bacteria; Bacillati; Cyanobacteriota; Cyanophyceae; Leptolyngbyales; Leptolyngbyaceae.
GGGGAAUUUUCCGCAAUGGGCGCAAGCCUGACGGAGCAAUACCGCGUGAGGGAGGACGGCUUUUGGGUUGUAAACCUCUUUUAUCAGGGAAGAAUCGAUGACGGUACCUGAUGAAUCAGCAUCGGCUAACUCCGUGCCAGCAGCCGCGGUAAUACGGAGGAUGCAAGCGUUAUCCGGAAUUAUUGGGCGUAAAGCGUCCGUAGGUGGCUUUGUAAGUCUGCUGUCAAAGCGUGCGGCUUAACCGCAUACGGGCAGUGGAAACUAUUGAGCUAGAGUGCGAUAGGGGUAACAGGAAUUCCCAGUGUAGCGGUGAAAUGCGUAGAUAUUGGGAAGAACACCAGCGGCGAAAGCGUGUUACUGGGUCUGCACUGACACUGAGGGACGAAAGCUAGGGGAGCGAAAGGGAUUAGAUACCCCUGUAGUCCUAGCCGUAAACGAUGACAACUAGGCGUGGUUCGUAUCGACCCGAGCCGUGCCGUAACCAACGCGUUAAGUUGUCCGCCUGGGGAGUACGCACGCAAGUGUGAAACUCAAAGGAAUUGACGGGGGCCCGCACAAGCGGUGGAGUAUGUGGUUUAAUUCGAUGCAACGCGAAGAACCUUACCAAGGCUUGACAUCCUCGGAACCUCCUUGAAAGGGGAGUGUGCCUUCGGGAACCGAGAGACAGGUGGUGCAUGGCUGUCGUCAGCUCGUGUCGUGAGAUGUUGGGUUAAGCCCCGCAACGAGCGCAACCCACGUUUUUAGUUGCCAGCAUUUAGUUGGGCACUCUAGAGAGACUGCCGGCGACAAACCGGAGGAAGGUGUGGAUGACGUCAAGUCAGCAUGCCCCGUACGCCUUGGGCUACACACGUACUACAAUGCGCUGGACAAAGAGUCGCAAGUCAGUGAUGGCAAGCCAAUCUCGAAAACCAGUGCUCAGUUCAGAUUGCAGGCUGCAACUCGCCUGCAUGAAGGCGGAAUCGCUAGUAAUCGCAGGUCAGCAUACUGCGGUGAAUACGUUCCCGGGCCU